UACGGAGGAUGCGAGCGUUAUCCGGAUUUAUUGGGUUUAAAGGGUGCGUAGGCGGACUGUCAAGUCAGCGGUAAAAUUGAGAGGCUCAACCUCUUCCCGCCGUUGAAACUGGUGGUCUUGAGUGGAUGAGAAGUACGCGGAAUGCGUAGUGUAGCGGUGAAAUGCAUAGAUAUCACGCAGAACUCCGAUUGCGAAGGCAGCGUACCGGCAUCCAACUGACGCUGAGGCACGAAAGCGUGGGGAUCAAACAGG
RNAcentral lists this ribosomal RNA (252 nucleotides) under uncultured bacterium. RNAcentral's name for it is "partial 16S ribosomal RNA". It matches the Rfam family "Bacterial small subunit ribosomal RNA", at positions 524 to 776 of the family's 1533-position model. The record is from RNAcentral.